This 96-nucleotide transfer RNA is filed under the name Dethiobacter sp. RNAcentral's name for it is "tRNA-Sec". It matches the Rfam family "Selenocysteine transfer RNA". Lineage: Bacteria; Bacillati; Bacillota; Dethiobacteria; Dethiobacterales; Dethiobacteraceae. The record is from RNAcentral.
GGGAGUAGAUAGUGACCUGGUGACGCUCCCGGACUUCAAAUCCGGUGGCGGGCGCGCUCCGUCCGCGGUGGGUUCGAUUCCCACCUACUCCCGCCA